GAAGGCACAGCUCAAGUGGUAGAGCACAUGUUCAUCAUGCAUAAGGUCCUGGGUUCAACUCCCCAGUGCCUCCU
This 74-nucleotide transfer RNA is filed under the name Camelus bactrianus (Bactrian camel). It matches the Rfam family "tRNA". From Rfam's summary of the family: Transfer RNA (tRNA) molecules are approximately 80 nucleotides in length. RNAcentral also lists the same sequence under 1 other name. Lineage: Eukaryota; Metazoa; Chordata; Mammalia; Artiodactyla; Camelidae. The record is from Rfam by way of RNAcentral.